GAUGAACGCUAGCUACAGGCUUAACACCUGCAAGUCGAGGGGUAACGAGAGGAAAGCUUGCUUUCCUUGUCGACGACCGGCGCACGGGUGAGUAACGCGUAUCCAACCUGCCCCCAACUAAGGAAUAACCUUGCGAAAGUAAGACUAAUACCUUAUAAUUUCCUCAGAUGUCAUCUGACGAGGAAUAAAGAUUUAUCGGUUGUGGAUGGGGAUGCGUCUGAUUAGCUUGUUGGCGGGGUAACGGCCCACCAAGGCAACGAUCAGUAGGGGUUCUGAGAGGAAGGUACCCCACAUUGGAACUGAGACACGGGCCAAACUCCUACGGGAGGCAGCAGUGAGGAAUAUUGGUCAAUGGGCGAAAGCCUGAACCAGCCAAGUAGCGUGCAGGAUGACGGCCCUAUGGGUUGUAAACUGCUUUUAUACAGGAAUAAAGUUAGCCACGUGUGGUUAUUUGUAGGUACUGUAUGAAUAAGGACCGGCUAAUUCCGUGCCAGCAGCCGCCGUAA
RNAcentral lists this ribosomal RNA (506 nucleotides) under uncultured bacterium. Its description in RNAcentral is "partial 16S ribosomal RNA". It matches the Rfam family "Bacterial small subunit ribosomal RNA", at positions 28 to 523 of the family's 1533-position model. The record is from RNAcentral.